ACGGGAGGCAGCAGUCGGGAAUAUUGCGCAAUGGAGGAAACUCUGACGCAGUGACGCCGCGUGCGGGAAGAAGGUUUUCGGAUUGUAAACUGCUUUAGACAGGGAAGAUAAUGACAGUACCUGUAGAAUAAGCUCCGGCUAACUACGUGCCAGCAGCCGCGGUAAUACGUAGGGAGCAAGCGUUAUCCGGAUUUAUUGGGUGUAAAGGGUGCGUAGACGGGAAAUUAAGUUAGUUGUGAAAUCCCUCGGCUUAACUGAGGAAUCGCAACUAAAACUGGUUUUCUUGAGUGCUGGAGAGGAAAGUGGAAUUCCUAGUGUAGCGGUGAAAUGCGUAGAUAUUAGGAGGAACACCAGUGGCGAAGGCGACUUUCUGGACAGUAACUGACGUAGGGGCACGAAAGUGUGGGGAGCAAACAGGAUUAGAUACCCUGGUA
RNAcentral lists this ribosomal RNA (434 nucleotides) under uncultured bacterium. RNAcentral describes it as "bacterial SSU rRNA". It matches the Rfam family "Bacterial small subunit ribosomal RNA", at positions 341 to 792 of the family's 1533-position model. The record is from RNAcentral.